RNAcentral lists this long non-coding RNA (605 nucleotides) under Elaeis guineensis (African oil palm). RNAcentral describes it as "long non-coding RNA (EGUI_LNC072177)". Lineage: Eukaryota; Viridiplantae; Streptophyta; Magnoliopsida; Arecales; Arecaceae. The record is from RNAcentral.
AUAGGCUUAAUUACGGUUGGCUUGGAUGAAUGGCCUAAAAUUAUCAAAUUAUUGGAGAAUGCAAUGUGGAAAAUAUUGACCAUGAAAAAUUACUGGACAUGGUGCACUUUGGCGUUUGUUGUUUAGCUAAUUAGAGAAAAAAGGGACAAUUAAUAACAAAUUGAUUACAAUCCAAACUAGUUGAUUACACGAUUACAUGCUAGUUUGACUUCGGGCUCUCCAUAACCAGUCUUUGAUCAUGAGAUAUCAAGCCAGCCCACUUUCAAUUCUGGUUGAAAUUGGCCUUUCAGGCGUAAGUUUUUAUUUCAUGAACUUGCAAUUCUGGUUGAAAAUUAGAUCAUUCAGAUGUAAGUUUUCAUUUCAUGAAGAAAUUGCAGCCGAAGUUGCCAAGAAAAAUAUUAACCAUGAAAAAUAUUAAAAAAGAUGUAUUUUGGCAUUUGUUUAGCUAAUUUCAGGAAAAAGAACUAACUACGUGCUAACUCCAAAUUAAGGGUCUAAUUGGCAUAACUUUUAUUUCUUAUUUUUUAUAUUUUUAAAAAUAAAAUAUAGAAAUUGAGAAAUAAAAAAAUACUAUUAUUUUUAAUUUCUAAUGUUUAAAAGUCACC